RNAcentral lists this ribosomal RNA (453 nucleotides) under Proasellus margalefi. RNAcentral's name for it is "partial 16S ribosomal RNA". It matches the Rfam family "Bacterial large subunit ribosomal RNA", at positions 1854 to 2597 of the family's 2925-position model. The record is from RNAcentral. Lineage: Eukaryota; Metazoa; Arthropoda; Malacostraca; Isopoda; Asellidae.
AUCCUCUGCCCUAUGAAUAGUUUAAAUGGCCGCAGUACUUUGACUGUGCAAAGGUAGCAUAAUCACUUGUCUCUUAAUUGGGGGCUGGUAUGAAAGAGGCGACGAGAUUUGGGCUUUUGACCUAUAAAAUAAAAUUGACAUAAAGGUCAAAAGGCCUUUAUUAACCAAAGGGACGAUAAGACCCUAUAAAACUUUACUAUGGAAUAAGUUAUUUAGGUAGUAUUUAUAGCUAUAGUUUGGCUGGGGCGGUCUAUAUAAAAACAAUAGAAAUAUUAAUAUUAUAUAUAGAAUUUGAGAGCUCUGAUAGGAAAUGAAUAAGUUACUUUAGGGAUAACAGCAUAAUUCUCCCAGAGAGUUCUUAUUGGAGGGAGAGUUUAUGACCUCGAUGUUGAAUUGGGGUGUCUGGUGUAAGUAGAAAUAUAUUAAGAUAGUCUGUUCGACUAUUAAAUUCCC